Molecule: ribosomal RNA, 294 nt
Filed under: uncultured Bacteroides sp.
Lineage: Bacteria; Pseudomonadati; Bacteroidota; Bacteroidia; Bacteroidales; Bacteroidaceae
Description: partial 16S ribosomal RNA
Rfam family: Bacterial small subunit ribosomal RNA
Source: RNAcentral
ACAUGCAAGUCGAGGGGCAGCAUGAACUUAGCUUGCUAAGUUUGAUGGCGACCGGCGCACGGGUGAGUAACACGUAUCCAACCUGCCGAUGACUCGGGGAUAGCCUUUCGAAAGAAAGAUUAAUACCCGAUGGCAUAGUUCUUCCGCAUGGUUUUACUAUUAAAGAAUUUCGGUUAUCGAUGGGGAUGCGUUCCAUUAGUUUGUUGGCGGGGUAACGGCCCACCAAACCGACGAUGGAUAGGGGUUCUGAGAGGAAGGUCCCCCACAUUGGUACUGAGACACGGACCAAACUCC